CCCUUAGAUGAUUUGGGCUGCACGCGCGCUACACUGACCCUAACAAUGAGCAACUGUCUGGCCUGAGAUGGCUGGGUAGCCUUUUCAACCCAUGUCAUGAUUGGGCUAGAUUUUUGUAAGUCUUGAUCUCUAACGAGGAAUCCCUAGUAUGCGUGAAUCAUCAAUCCAUGCAGAUUAUGUCCCUGCCCUUUGUACACACCGCCCGUCGCUCCUACUGAUUGGGUGAUCGGUGAGCUGUUCGGCCAUAGCAAUGUUUCUUGAGCAGGGCAAUGAAUGUUUCGCAAACCUUGCCACUUAGAGGAAGGAGAAGUCGUAACA
Molecule: ribosomal RNA, 318 nt
Filed under: uncultured eukaryote
Lineage: Eukaryota
Description: partial 18S ribosomal RNA
Rfam family: Eukaryotic small subunit ribosomal RNA
Source: RNAcentral